This 465-nucleotide ribosomal RNA is filed under the name Vreelandella stevensii. RNAcentral describes it as "partial 16S ribosomal RNA". It matches the Rfam family "Bacterial small subunit ribosomal RNA", at positions 338 to 795 of the family's 1533-position model. Lineage: Bacteria; Pseudomonadati; Pseudomonadota; Gammaproteobacteria; Oceanospirillales; Halomonadaceae. The record is from RNAcentral.
CCUACGGGGCGCAGCAGUGGGGAAUAUUUGACAAUGGGCGAAAGCCUGAUCCAGCCAUGCCGCGUGUGUGAAGAAGGCCUUCGGGUUGUAAAGCACUUUCAGUGGGGAAGAAAGCCUUGGGGCUAAUACCCUCGAGGAAGGACAUCACCCACAGAAGAAGCACCGGCUAACUCCGUGCCAGCAGCCGCGGUAAUACGGAGGGUGCGAGCGUUAAUCGGAAUUACUGGGCGUAAAGCGCGCGUAGGCGGUCUGAUAAGCCGGUUGUGAAAGCCCCGGGCUCAACCUGGGAACGGCAUCCGGAACUGUCAGGCUAGAGUGCAGGAGAGGAAGGUAGAAUUCCCGGUGUAGCGGUGAAAUGCGUAGAGAUCGGGAGGAAUACCAGUGGCGAGGGCGGCCUUCUGGACUGACACUGACGCUGAGGUGCGAAAGCGUGGGUAGCAAACAGGAUUAGAUACCCCGGUAGUC